This 1500-nucleotide small RNA is filed under the name Pongo abelii (Sumatran orangutan). RNAcentral describes it as "retained intron". The record is from RNAcentral. Lineage: Eukaryota; Metazoa; Chordata; Mammalia; Primates; Hominidae.
UCUUUGUGCUGGUAUACCUCUGUUAGGCUGAAUUUGGUUGUGCGUAGAAUUACACUUGAUUUUUGUAAUACAAAGUUACUAGUUUUACUCAGAUUAGUAGAGCAUAGCUUUUUUCCAGUAUGGCUGGAAAUAUUUUUAAGUGUGCAUUUAGUUUUGAAAGAUGUUAUUUCUUAUACAUAUUUUAUCUUCUAGAUGUUGAUUUUAUUAGCUCCUUAAUGAUAGGUCUGUUAGCUUAUUUUUCCCGUUUUAAUUAACCAGGAUUGUACAUUUAUUCUGUCGAUUUGCAUCUCUAACUUGGUACCAUUCUCUUCAUCCCAGUCCAUAUUUUUGUAUCACUUCUGAGAAGUGUCCUGAUGAUUGUCAUUCACAAUGUAAGUUAUUAUUUAUAUUGACAGCUACUGUGUGAAGACAUUCACAGGACACAGAGAAUGGGUACGUAUGGUGCGACCAAAUCAAGAUGGCACUCUGAUAGCCAGCUGUUCCAAUGACCAGACUGUGCGUGUAUGGGUCGUAGCAACAAAGGAAUGCAAGGCUGAGCUCCGAGAGCAUGAACAUGUGGUAGAAUGCAUUUCCUGGGCUCCGGAAAGCUCAUAUUCCUCCAUCUCUGAAGCAACAGGAUCUGAGACUAAAAAAAGUGGUAAACCUGGGCCAUUCUUGCUGUCUGGAUCCAGAGACAAGACUAUUAAGAUGUGGGAUGUCAGUACUGGCAUGUGCCUUAUGACCCUCGUGGGUCAUGAUAACUGGGUACGUGGAGUUCUGUUCCAUUCUGGGGGGAAGUUUAUUUUGAGUUGUGCUGAUGACAAGACCCUACGUGUAUGGGAUUACAAGAACAAGCGAUGCAUGAAGACCCUCAAUGCGCAUGAACACUUUGUUACCUCCUUGGAUUUCCACAAGACGGCACCCUAUGUCGUCACUGGCAGCGUAGAUCAAACAGUAAAAGUGUGGGAGUGCCGUUGAUUGCGUCUCCUUCAGCCCCUCCUCCCUCUUUUCCUCUGGAUGCACUCUGAUGAUACCAUGGUUACCCCAUUGAGCUCUGUUUAAAUAAAUAUUGUCCUUUCAUGUAAAUUAUUCUGGAUGUAGAUUGAGCUUAUUAAAUGUUACACACAAAGUAUUCAUGCAUGGUGAAUCCAAAUUGUAUACUGUAAAUUUACAUACGUUGUCUAGAAGUACCAUAGGGUUAAACCUGGGCUGGCAUUGGCCACACCAGGCCUAAGAAGGCAGAAGUUGAAUCAAUUGAACUAGGGCACUAAACUGAAUAGUUGACAGUGUCAUUUUAUGUUGGAUUAUUAAUUCCUGUUUUUCUUUCUGCUGUCUGUUGGUGCCUGACUUGAUGGCCUCAUUUGGGGAAAAGUGGUGGUUAUUAGGGCUUUUUCUGAAAUGUGUAUCUAUGUAACAUCACUUAAGUGUGCUUAAUAAAUCUUCUUUAAGGAUUUUAGAUAAUAAGGCUACAAUUCAAAAUCUUCUGAACCAUCUAUGUAAUGAAUGGGGAUUAUACAUUGG